This 492-nucleotide ribosomal RNA is filed under the name uncultured bacterium. Its description in RNAcentral is "partial 16S ribosomal RNA". It matches the Rfam family "Bacterial small subunit ribosomal RNA", at positions 29 to 507 of the family's 1533-position model. The record is from RNAcentral.
AUUGAACGCUGGCGGCAUGCUUUACACAUGCAAGUCGAACGGUAACAGGCCUUCGGGUGCUGACGAGUGGCGAACGGGUGAGUAAUGCAUCGGAACGUACCAAGAGGUGGGGGAUAACGCAGCGAAAGCUGUGCUAAUACCGCAUGUGAUCUGAGGAUGAAAGCGGGGGACCGAGCAGCAAUGUUUGGCCUCGCGCCUUUGGAGCGGCCGAUGUCGGAUUAGCUAGUUGGUGGGGUAAAGGCCUACCAAGGCGACGAUCCGUAGCUGGUCUGAGAGGACGACCAGCCACACUGGGACUGAGACACGGCCCAGACUCCUACGGGAGGCAGCAGUGGGGAAUUUUGGACAAUGGGCGCAAGCCUGAUCCAGCAAUGCCGCGUGCGGGAAGAAGGCCUUCGGGUUGUAAACCGCUUUUGGCAGGAACGAAACGGUGUCCGCUAAUACCGGGCGCUAAUGACGGUACCUGCAGAAUAAGCACCGGCUAACUACGUG